This 463-nucleotide ribosomal RNA is filed under the name uncultured bacterium. RNAcentral's name for it is "partial 16S ribosomal RNA". It matches the Rfam family "Bacterial small subunit ribosomal RNA", at positions 29 to 507 of the family's 1533-position model. The record is from RNAcentral.
ACGAACGCUGGCGGCGUGCUUAACCCAUGCAAGUCGAACGGAAAGGCCCCUUUGGGGGUACUCGAGUGGCGAACGGGUGAGUAACACGUGAGUAACCUGCCCUUGACUUCGGGAUAACUUCAGGAAACUGGGGCUAAUACCGGAUAGGAAUCCUUGCUGCAUGGUGGGGGUUGGAAAGCUUCGGCGGUUUUGGAUGGACUCGCGGCUUAUCAGCUUGUUGGUGGGGUAGUGGCUUACCAAGGCUUUGACGGGUAGCCGGCCUGAGAGGGCGACCGGCCACAUUGGGACUGAGAUACGGCCCAGACUCCUACGGGAGGCAGCAGUGGGGAAUAUUGCACAAUGGGCGGAAGCCUGAUGCAGCAACGCGCGUGCGGGAUGACGGCCUUCGGGUUGUAAACCGCUUUCAGCAGGGGCGAAGCUUGUGGUGACGGUACCUGCAGAAGAAGCACCGGCUAACUACGUG